RNAcentral lists this ribosomal RNA (258 nucleotides) under uncultured bacterium. RNAcentral describes it as "partial 16S ribosomal RNA". It matches the Rfam family "Bacterial small subunit ribosomal RNA", at positions 524 to 776 of the family's 1533-position model. The record is from RNAcentral.
UACAGAGGUCUCAAGCGUUGUCCGGAAUUAUUGGGCGUAAAGAGCUCGUAGGCGGUCUGUCGCGUCGGCUGUGAAAAACCCGGGGGCUCAACCCCGGGCCUGCAGUCGAUACGGGCAGACUAGAGUGCGGUAGGGGGAGACUGGAAUUCCUGGUGUAGCGGUGAAAUGCGCAGAUAUCAGGAGGAACACCGGUGGCGAAGGCGGGUCUCUGGGGACGGUACUGACGCUGAGACGCGAAAGCGUGGGGGAGCGAACAGG